AGAGUUUGAUCAUGGCUCAGAACGUACGCUGGCGGCACGCCUAAUACAUGCAAGUCGAACGAAGUAGCAAUACUUAGUGGCAGACGGGUGAGUAACAUGUAGGUAUCUUCCCAUUGGUGAGGAAUAACACGAGGAAACUUGUGCUAAUACCUCAUAAGUCUUUACGGAGAAAGCUUUAUGCGCCGAUGGAUGAGCCUGCACUUGAUUAGUUUGUUGGUAGGGUAAUGGCCUACCAAGACAAUGAUCAAUAGCUGAUUUGAGAGGAUGAUCAGCCACAUUGGGACUGAGACACGGCCCAAACUCCUACGGGAGGCAGCAGUAGGGAAUCUUGCACAAUGGGGGAAACCCUGAUGCAGCGAUGCCGCGUGAGUGAAGAAGGCCUUUGGGUUGUAAAGCUCUUUCGUCGGGGAAGAAAAUGACUGUACCCGAAUAAGAAGGUCCGGCUAACUUCGUGCCAGCAGCCGCGGUAAUACGAAGGGACCUAGCGUAGUUCGGAAUUACUGGGCUUAAAGAGUUCGUAGGUGGUUAAAAAAGUUGGUGGUGAAAUCCCAGAGCUUAACUCUGGAACUGCCAUCAAAACUUUUUAGCUAGAGUAUGAUAGAGGAAAGCAGAAUUUCUAGUGUAGAGGUGAAAUUCGUAGAUAUUAGAAAGAAUACCAAUUGCGAAGGCAGCUUUCUGGAUCAUUACUGACACUGAGGAACGAAAGCAUGGGUAGCGAAGAGGAUUAGAUACCCUCGUAGUCCAUGCCGUAAACGAUGUGUGUUAGACGUUGGAAAUUUAUUUUCUGUGUCGCAGCGAAAGCAAUAAACACACCGCCUGGGGAGUACGACCGCAAGGUUAAAACUCAAAUGAAUUGACGGGGACCCGCACAAGUAGUGGAGCAUGUGGUUUAAUUCGAAGAUACGCGCAGAACCUUACCAACACUUGACAUGUUCGUCGCGACUUUAAGAGAUUAAAGUUUUCGGUUCGGCCGGACGAAACACAGGUGCUGCAUGGCUGUCGUCAGCUCGUGUCGUGAGAUGUUGGGUUAAGUCCCGCAACGAGCGCAACCCUCACUUUUAGUUGCCAUCAUUUAGUUGGGCACUCUGAAAGAACUGCCAGUGAUAAGCUGGAGGAAGGUGGGGAUGACGUCAAGUCCUCAUGGCCCUUACGUGUUGGGCUACACACGUGCUACAAUGGCAUUUACAAUAGGAAGCAAGACGGCGACGUUAAGCAAAUCCUAAAAAAAUGCCUCAGUUCGGAUUGUACUCUGCAACUCGAGUACAUGAAGCUGGAAUUACUAGUAAUCGCGGAUCAGCGCGCCGCGGUGAAUACGUUCCCGGGUCUUGUACACACCGCCCGUCACACCAUGGGAGUUGGUUCUACCUUAAGGCAAAGUUUAAUACCUUUGACCACGGUAUAGUCAGCGACUGGGGUGAAGUCGUAACAAGGUAGCCGUAGGGGAACCUGCGGCUG
This 1455-nucleotide ribosomal RNA is filed under the name marine metagenome. RNAcentral's name for it is "bacterial SSU rRNA". It matches the Rfam family "Bacterial small subunit ribosomal RNA". The record is from RNAcentral. RNAcentral also lists the same sequence under 1 other name.